GGAUAGUUUUCAUAUACAUUUCUCCUCCUGCAUUUACUUAAACUGCCAGUCUUAGAGCCUUAAAUAAGAUGCACUCAGCUGAAAAUUGUCCUUCACUGAGGAGACACGCUGUUCCUACUGAGGGAGAUAAUCCAGCAUUGUAUAUUUUUGUGCACAGAGGAAAGCAAGAUACUCAUCAGAGACUCAGCUAUUCCUCCAUUCCGAAGCAUCCCAGAGGAAUUUCUGAAGGCAGGAGGGAAUCCUGAGAGACAGAUAAGCAGAACAGAAGAAGACUUCUGUGGACAGAUUCAGGAAGAAGGAGGAUCCUUCCAGCUAUCCUGCAAGAGACUCCCCUAUGCUGCAUUGAGAAUAAUACUCAGGUAUAAAUUUCUUUUUUUUUUUUUUUUUUUUUUUUUGAGACAGAGUCUCACUCUGUCACCCAGGCUGGAGUGCAGUGGCACAAUCUCGGCUCACUGCAACCUCUGCCUCCCAGGUUCAAGCGAUUCUUCUGCCUCAGCCUCCCGAUUAGCUGAGACUACAGGCGCCUGCCACCACACCUUGCUAAUUUUUGUAUUUUUAGUAGAGACAGAGUUUCACCAUGUUGGCGAGGCUAGUCUCAAACUCCUGAUCUCAAGUGAUCUGCCCACCUCGGUCUCCCAAAGUGCUGGGAUUACAGGCAUGAGCCACUGCGCCCGGCCUCAGGUGUAAAUUUCUAAACUCUAGUCAUGGGAGGAAACAAUGAUGUUGAUUUGUUUUGCCUCUCUCAUCCCACUGCUACCGUCUUCCGUGAACUUAUUUCCUGUUGAUUCUAACUCUCCCAAGUCACUGAAAAA
Molecule: long non-coding RNA, 812 nt
Filed under: Pan troglodytes (chimpanzee)
Lineage: Eukaryota; Metazoa; Chordata; Mammalia; Primates; Hominidae
Description: lncRNA (ENSPTRG00000053282.1)
Source: RNAcentral